This 481-nucleotide ribosomal RNA is filed under the name uncultured bacterium. Its description in RNAcentral is "SSU rRNA". It matches the Rfam family "Bacterial small subunit ribosomal RNA", at positions 27 to 518 of the family's 1533-position model. The record is from RNAcentral.
GGGACGAACGCUGGCGGCGUGCCUAACACAUGCAAGUCGAACGAGGUCCAUCCAGUGGCAACACUGGUGAAGACCUAGUGGCGAACGGGUGAGUAACACGUGAGGAACCUGCCCCGAAGACCGGGAUAACCCUCCGAAAGGAGAGCUAAUACCGGAUACCCCCAACUGAUCGCAUGGUCGGAUGAGGAAAUGGAUUCCGCUUCGGGAGGGCCUCGCGGCCUAUCAGCUAGUUGGUGAGGUAAUGGCUCACCAAGGCAUCGACGGGUAGCUGGUCUGAGAGGACGAUCAGCCACACUGGGACUGAGACACGGCCCAGACUCCUACGGGAGGCAACAGUGGGGAAUCUUGCGCAAUGGGCGAAAGCCUGACGCAGCAACGCCGCGUGGGGGAUGAAGGCUCUCGGGUUGUAAACCCCUUUCAGUAGGGACGAAAAUGACGGUACCUACAGAAGAAGCCCGGCCAACUACGUGCCAGCAGCCGC